Molecule: long non-coding RNA, 1898 nt
Organism: Mastomys coucha (southern multimammate mouse)
Lineage: Eukaryota; Metazoa; Chordata; Mammalia; Rodentia; Muridae
Exons: 5
Source: RefSeq, a predicted model, not a curated record
GCCCCUGGGAACAGAAAGUAGUCCAGCCCACUACAAAAGGGGCUGCGUGAGCCCUCCUCUCUCUCUCUCAACCUCUCACUCUUCUCGUCUUUACUCUCACCUCUUGCUCCCUUUCUCCCCUUCCCCCUACCCCCACCCCCUGGGCCUCCAAUUUAUUCUCAGCUCUUCCCCGUGUACUGCGAUGCCCAGGACCUAGAACCUACCUGACCUCCUUGGCCUCCGUGAGGCCCAUGGACCACGAGACUGGUUCCCUCUCCACCCCUGAGGACUGGGAUAGAGGCUUCCCACAGCCAGAUGCUCACCCAGAGUGGAGACCGCGCGCAGCAGCCUCCCACGUCUGCCCGGCCAAUGUACAGUGUCUCCUGAGCUCCAGCUCUCCCAGGGUACCCAGCAGUCUUUGGUGCACAAGAGUUGGAGCAGAGAUUGGGCCUCCCUAUCUCCAGGAGCGGCUGACGCCUGUCCUGGAAUAGUACAGUAGGGUCCUGUACCAGUCUCCCGAGCUCUGGAGGUGAGGUGAGGUGCCUGAGUUCAUGCUGCUGCCUGCAUGGUCUGGUCACUAUUCAAAGCCAGCUUUCCCUUCCUUCCUGCUACACUUCCUGCCACGGCUGGGAUACUUGGGAGCCUGGACUCAGUGCCAGCCGUAUGUCCAGAACACCAACGCCCACUAGUGGAACCCUGACAUCACCUGUUACCCAGCUACCUGUGUCCUUUUAAGGCCCCCAUUUUCACCUGAAUGUGUUAAAAGCAGCUACCCCACCCCCCAGCACUCUAGCUUCAAGAAGGGAGUCUACUUUGUCAGGGGUGCUGAAGAUGGCCUGGCCUGCUUUCUCUUCUCAAAGGCACCACACUUCAGGAUGCGCACGAAGAAGAUCCAGGUCAAAGUCUUCGUCAAAGUACUCGUCAGGCGUGAUGGCUGUGGGGUUGUUCACAGUGGCACACUCCGUCGUGAGGUCCUGCUGAGCCAGAACUAAGGAGAGUCAAGACUGCCUGACUUUAAAGCACAGGCCUACUACAGCUUCAUGAAGAGGUGCUCUGUGCGGAUCUUGGUUAUCACGUUCACAUUGUUUACCGAGUAAACCUUGAGGGAUGUAUGCAAGAGACAGUUGUGACACAGGGGACUGAAAGCCAACACACUCACAGCAAGACCAAGAAUGCUGAAGUUGGCAAGUCAAGCAAAUCCAGCAAAAUAAAAUCGAGAACUGGCCAACAGCCUCAGCCCCUCAGAUAGACAGCUCCGGCCGCCAGUUACUCUGCACCCUCAGGCUAAAGGGGCUUGGCGGGUGUCCUGCAGAUAGGGUGUCCACCGGGCUCCUGGCUCCUGUGACCUGUGGUGCUCUCCUGACAAUACCGACUAAGCCAGUCCUAGGCUCUCUAGACCUGGGAGACCAGGGAAAACCAGCAUUCUUUCUACUGACAAGAAAAGAUUCUGAUUGCCAGAGGGAGCACUUGCUGUCUGUCAGGCGGUGUGUUGAUAGCUGCGCAGACCUCACUCUGCACCACAGCAGCUGUUUCUAAAUGCAUCUUGCUGAGCAUGAUGGAGCUGUUUUUGCUCCCUCAAAGGCCAGCAGAAGACCCUACUGCACCUGGCUCCCUCCAUCCCUGCUGUACACUAAGGAAAGGCUAGCAAGCAGCCUUCAGCUGACGCAAUACCAGAUGAUCCCACAGACGCCCUGUCGCUGCUGCAGGGUUUCCAGGACUAACGCCACCCACAGACACCCCGUCGCUGCUGCAGGGUUUCCAGGACUAACGCCGCUGCAGCCAUUUCUUUUCUUUUCUUUUCUUUUUUAAGAGCUGAGGCUUCAGCUAAAGAAAUUACCUAAAGCUUAAGUAACAAAGGAUCACAUAAGCUAUUUCCUACAUGAUAUCUUCUUUAAAAGAGAUAAACUGACUAAAUUCAA